UACAGAGGUGGCAGGCGUUGUUCGGAAUUACUGGGCGUAAAGCGCGUGUAGGCGGCUCUUCAAGUCAGGCGUGAAAGCCCCGGGCUCAACUCGGGAACUGCGCUUGAUACUGUCGAGCUAGAGUGUGGAAGGGGCGAUUGGAAUUCCGUGUGUAGCGGUGAAAUGCGUAGAUAUACGGAGGAACACCAGAGGCGAAGGCGGAUCGCUGGGCCAACACUGACGCUGAGACGCGAAAGCUAGGGUAGCAAACCGG
Molecule: ribosomal RNA, 253 nt
Filed under: uncultured bacterium
Lineage: Bacteria
Description: partial 16S ribosomal RNA
Rfam family: Bacterial small subunit ribosomal RNA
Source: RNAcentral